RNAcentral lists this ribosomal RNA (447 nucleotides) under uncultured bacterium. RNAcentral's name for it is "bacterial SSU rRNA". It matches the Rfam family "Bacterial small subunit ribosomal RNA", at positions 29 to 524 of the family's 1533-position model. The record is from RNAcentral.
AACGAACGCUGGCGGCAGGCUUAACACAUGCAAGUCGAACGCCCCGCAAGGGGAGUGGCAGACGGGUGAGUAACGCGUGGGAACGUGCCCUUCGCUUCGGAAUAGCCCCGGGAAACUGGGAGUAAUACCGGAUACGCCGUAUUGGGAAAGAUUUAUCGGCGAAGGAUCGGCCCGCGUUAGAUUAGCUAGUUGGCGGUGUAAUGGACCACCAAGGCUACGAUCUAUAGCUGGUCUGAGAGGAUGAUCAGCCACACUGGGACUGAGACACGGCCCAGACUCCUACGGGAGGCAGCAGUGGGGAAUCUUGGACAAUGGGCGCAAGCCUGAUCCAGCCAUGCCGCGUGAGUGAAGAAGGCCUUAGGGUUGUAAAGCUCUUUUGCCGGGGACGAUAAUGACGGUACCCGGAGAAUAAGUCCCGGCUAACUUCGUGCCAGCAGCCGCGGUAAU